Molecule: non-coding RNA, 109 nt
Filed under: Pontibacillus litoralis
Lineage: Bacteria; Bacillati; Bacillota; Bacilli; Caryophanales; Bacillaceae
Also listed under: 1 other name
Description: SAM-I sequence
Rfam family: SAM riboswitch aptamer (S box leader)
About the family: The SAM riboswitch is found upstream of a number of genes which code for proteins involved in methionine or cysteine biosynthesis in Gram-positive bacteria.
Source: RNAcentral
CUCUUAUCAAGAGUGGCUGAGGGAAUAGGCCCUGUGAAGCCCGGCAACCUUUCUAUUUUCGACGGAAAAGGUGCUACAUCCUACAGGCAAUACGUCUGAAAGAUAAGAG